UACGAAGGGGGCUAGCGUUGCUCGGAAUUACUGGGCGUAAAGCGCACGUAGGCGGCUUUCUAAGUCGGGGGUGAAAUCCUGGAGCUCAACUCCAGAACUGCCUUCGAUACUGGAGAGCUCGAGUCCGGGAGAGGUGAGUGGAACUGCGAGUGUAGAGGUGAAAUUCGUAGAUAUUCGCAAGAACACCAGUGGCGAAGGCGGCUUACUGGCCCGGUACUGACGCUGAGGUGCGAAAGCGUGGGGAGCGAACAGG
RNAcentral lists this ribosomal RNA (253 nucleotides) under uncultured bacterium. RNAcentral describes it as "partial 16S ribosomal RNA". It matches the Rfam family "Bacterial small subunit ribosomal RNA", at positions 524 to 776 of the family's 1533-position model. The record is from RNAcentral.